GGACACACGUAAUUCUUGGCUGAUGUCACGAACAUUAACUAAAAUUUGUGAAAAGUAUUUGUUUGAAAAGUGAAAUUGUGUUUUUUGUUUAAUCUAAAGUUAGAAUCGUUAUUAUAUGCAAAAAAUUGUGUCGCGAGAGUCGUAAUNUGUUGUGUUUNUAUUGGGAAAAUUUCGUAAGUGCGUUUUCGGGUUUGUUCGUGGGUGUAUAUGCGCGUAUUUAUGAAUGUAACAAUUGCGUUGGUACUUCACGCGGUUCUCGCUUGGUUUAUGUAUGUCGCGUGUGUCGAAUAUUAAGUGCCAUAGUAUAGUGUUCCUUUAAAAAAAGCGCGUGGAGCAAUAUGGCCAAGGCAUGUUUAAAUAAGGUGCAGUACUACAAAGAUGUCAUCAUAAUUUUCGUGUGUCGGCAAAAUAAUUGGGGGCAUAAAGUGACCGUCGAGCGGUGACAGCUGCGCGAUAGCAAAAAAUAAAAUCGCUGAUAGUUUUUGCAUUAAGCUUUAACUGUGAAAAAAAAAAGUUUUCGCGUCUUCAGUUAACGGUAAAAUAGCGGUAUAUACGGCAAAUACGGUUUCGGUUUCGCGUUUAAUUUCGCGGUGUUUCGCAUCGGUUACGGUUGAAUUAAAAUUUUUCGGUAUUUAAACGGUAAAAAUAAACAGACGACCAAAUGUUGGCCUUUCAUAACGAGCACAUUGCAAGUUGUGCCUUUUUAACUUACUUUAGCCCGGAGAGCACAACGACGGCUGCUAAUUCGCCAACAACGCCACAAGCAGCUGUGCUCAAUGAUAAAACGGCCUUAACUGGGAUGAACCGUGCUUUACAGCUCAAGCCAGCUGAAAGUGAAAGUCGAAGCGAGCAUUUAGAUCGCAAACUGUUCGUUGGUAUGCUAAGCAAGCAACAAACCGAAGAGGAUGUUAGACAAAUAUUCAGCCCAUUUGGCAGCAUAGAAGAGUGCACCAUAUUGCGUGGUCCGGAAGGCGCCAGCAAAGGUUGUGCUUUCGUCAAAUUUAGUUCACAACAGGAGGCCCAGUCCGCCAUAACCAAUUUACACGGAAGUCAAACUAUGCCGGGUGCUUCCUCCAGUCUUGUUGUGAAAUUUGCCGAUACUGAGAAAGAGCGACAGAUACGACGUAUGCAACAAAUGGCGGGUCAUAUGAAUUUACUUAAUCCCUUUGUCUUUAAUCAAUUUGGACCAUAUGGAGCUUACGCGCAGCAACAACAAGCUGCUUUAAUGGCCGCCGCUGCCACUGCACCCGGCUCGUAUAUGAAUCCGAUGGCCGCGUUGGCAACGCAAAUACCUCAUGGCUUAAAUGGCACCGGUCAACCAUCGCUGCCCUCACCGACCAUGCCCAAUUUCAAUAUGGGCGCUCAAACGCCAAAUGGACAACCCGCUGCUGCAGCGGCCGCAGCAGCCGCCGCCGCCGCUGAUGGCGUCUUUACGAAUGGCAUUCCGCAAACGGCAUUCCCGGGACAUCCACUCCAUUUAACAAUUCCACCACAAGGUCUGCCUAAUGGUGAUGCUGCCGCCUUACAGCAUGCCUUCACUGGAAUGCCACCAUUUCCAGGAGUUGCCUUUCCCGCCGUUUAUGGACAAUUUCCACAAGCUUUACCACCACCUCUAGCGGCGGUUGCACCCACUCAACGUGAAGAUUUUCUGAUGUUCCCAGGAUGUUCGAUUUCGGGACCGGAGGGAUGUAAUCUAUUCAUAUAUCAUUUGCCGCAAGAAUUCGGCGAUGCGGAAUUGAUGCAGAUGUUCCUGCCAUUUGGUAAUGUGAUCAGUUCAAAGGUCUUCAUUGAUCGCGCUACAAAUCAGAGUAAAUGUUUUGGUUUUGUUUCAUUCGAUAAUCCUGCCAGCGCUCAAGCGGCCAUUCAGGCAAUGAAUGGUUUCCAGAUUGGCAUGAAAAGACUGAAAGUUCAACUGAAGCGGCCAAAGGAUGCCAGCCGACCCUAUUAACAAUCGGAGUUCCUUAAAGCGUUAAACAACAUUAACAAUUACAAACGAUUACUUCUUUCGAAAAUAAUGAUGAAACAAACAAAAAAAAAUNAAACAAAACUAAAAGUAAAAGCGCAGCAAGUAAGCCUCUACAUAUAACAACAGUCAGCGGCAGUAACAGCCAGCAGCAAAAGAAAAAAAAGUCGCAGUAAAGUAGUCAAUAGAUUCCAAUAAACUGAAUACAAAUACUGAUUCCGCAAAAUAAAUUCACCAAGCAACAUAUGUGCAAGUUUACAAUAAUGAAUAUCCCAGUGCAA
Molecule: unclassified non-coding RNA, 2244 nt
Filed under: Bactrocera latifrons
Lineage: Eukaryota; Metazoa; Arthropoda; Insecta; Diptera; Tephritidae
Description: cUGBP Elav-like family member 4, transcript variant X13
Source: RNAcentral